CCUACGGGAGGCAGCAGUAGGGAAUAUUGCUCAAUGGGGGAAAGCCUGAUGCAGCAACGCCGCGUGGGGGAUGAAGGUUUUCGGAUUGUAAACUCCUUUUGUUAGAGAAGAGAGUGACGGUAUCUAACGAAUAAGCAACGGCUAACUCCCGCCCAGCAGCCGCGGUAAUACGGAGGGUGCAAGCGUUACUCGGAAUGACUGGGCGGAAAGGGCACGGAGGCGGGAUCGCAAGUCAGAUGUGAAAUCCUAUGGCUUAACCAUAGAACUGCAUUUGAAACUGGUAUUCUAGAGUAUGGGAGAGGUAGGUGGAAUUCUUGGUGUAGGGGUCAAAUCCGUAGAGAUCAAGAGGAAUACUCAUUGCGACGGCGACCUGCUAGAACAUAACUGACGCUGAUGCGCGAAAGCGUGGGGAGCAAACAGGAUUAGAUACCCUAGUAGUC
RNAcentral lists this ribosomal RNA (440 nucleotides) under uncultured bacterium. RNAcentral describes it as "partial 16S ribosomal RNA". It matches the Rfam family "Bacterial small subunit ribosomal RNA", at positions 338 to 795 of the family's 1533-position model. The record is from RNAcentral.